AGCAGCAGCCGCGGGAAUACGGAGGGUGCAAGCGUUAAUCGGAAUUACUGGGCGUAAAGCGUGCGUAGGCGGUUCGUUAAGUCUGUUGUGAAAGCCCCGGGCUCAACCUGGGAAUGGCAAUGGAUACUGGCGAGCUAGAGUGUGUCAGAGGAUGGUAGAAUUCCAGGUGUAGCGGUGAAAUGCGUAGAGAUCUGGAGGAAUACCGAUGGCGAAGGCAGCCAUCUGGCCUAAUACUGACGCUGAGGUACGAAAGCAUGGGGAGCAAACAGGAUUAGAUACCCGUGUAGUCCCUGUCUCUUAUAC
This 303-nucleotide ribosomal RNA is filed under the name uncultured bacterium. RNAcentral describes it as "partial 16S ribosomal RNA". It matches the Rfam family "Bacterial small subunit ribosomal RNA", at positions 507 to 807 of the family's 1533-position model. The record is from RNAcentral.